Molecule: non-coding RNA, 30 nt
Filed under: Homo sapiens (human)
Lineage: Eukaryota; Metazoa; Chordata; Mammalia; Primates; Hominidae
Source: RNAcentral
UNCUAGAAACAAGAUACCCCUACUGCAGUA